UACGAAGGGGGCUAGCGUUGCUCGGAAUCACUGGGCGUAAAGCGCACGUAGGCGGCUUUCUAAGUCAGGGGUGAAAUCCUGGAGCUCAACUCCAGAACUGCCUUUGAUACUGGAGAGCUUGAGUCCGGGAGAGGUGAGUGGAACUCCGAGUGUAGAGGUGAAAUUCGUAGAUAUCGGGAGGAACACCUGUGGCGAAAGCGGCGCACUGGACCAUAACUGACGCUGAGGCGCGAAAGCUAGGGGAGCAAACAGG
This 253-nucleotide ribosomal RNA is filed under the name uncultured prokaryote. Its description in RNAcentral is "partial 16S ribosomal RNA". It matches the Rfam family "Bacterial small subunit ribosomal RNA", at positions 524 to 776 of the family's 1533-position model. The record is from RNAcentral.